This is an RNA transcript of Gossypium raimondii (Peruvian cotton), 1647 nucleotides long. RefSeq lists it as uncharacterized. The record is from RefSeq and is a predicted model, not a curated record. The transcript has 4 exons. NCBI's taxonomy places the organism in Eukaryota, Viridiplantae, Streptophyta, Magnoliopsida, Malvales, Malvaceae.
AUAUUAUAUAUAUAUAACAAAAGAAAGAAUGGAAAUGAGAAAGAAAGAAACAGAGAGCAAAACGAAACAGAGAAGGGAGAAAGAAGAAAAAGAAAGAGCGACGGUUUAGGGGUUUCAAAACUUCUAAAUUCAAUUGCUAAUGUCGUGUACGAGUCAUUGUCCGAGAAAGGAAAGGAGAAGGUGGACAAGGAUUGACUCGGGAGAAAUUUCGGAUUGUAGAAAACCAGUGUUCGAUCCAGCAUCCAAAGUAAUCCCGACCUCAGAGACAUUUUAGUGAUGUACCUUUCUGUUGAUAAUGUGGCAUGUACCUAAGUAAUGUACAUACCUAGGUAAUGUAUAUACCUAAGUGAUGUAUAGGGAUUAGUCAUUUUGAAUGUUGUAUCUAUGAUAUUGCUAAAGAAAGAUGUGUGGGUAUGUGAUAAUGUUUGGCUUUUAAAAUGGUUAAGUAUGAAAAUCAAGAAAGGGUAAAUUUUGCAAAGAAACAGAAUUCAGACAGCAACAGCGACGUAACUUUGAAAAAUCACCUAAGAUAGUAUAAAAUGAAUUAGAGGGUGAAUAAUAUAUGAAAUUAAAGAUUAUCGAGUCUAUUUUUAUAGAAAAAUAACGGUUUAGCAAAAAGAAUUUUAUAUUUUAAGAUAUAUGAAUUUUAACGAGACAGGGUCAGAUCUGUUUCUGGAGUCCUCUGUUCCGAGUUUAGAAAAUCACUAAAACUGGUACAAAAAUAGUUAUGAGUUUUAGUUUAUAUGUAUUGAAUCCUUAUUGAGUCUAUUUUCUGUAGAAACAAGUGGUAAUAUCAUGUGAAAAUACUAUAAUGAGAAAAAUUAUUUUUAGUGGCAAGAGGUCAGGACAGUCGAUUGAAGAAACAGGGGAGACUUUAACUAAUAAACUGUACUAAUUGGCCAAAUCAAAAAUUCUGAAAAUUUUAUGGUAGAAAGAUAUAUGAGUCUAGUUUCAGGGAAAAUUUACGGAAUUAAAUUUCGAGUCCCGUAGCUCGAGUUAUAAUCAAUUUAGUAACUGCUGCGCGAUUGGGCAGAUUACUGUAAACAGUGAAAUAAAUUUUCAAACCAAAUUUUUAUGCUCCGAAUUGGUAAAAUAAGCUCAGUAACGCCUCGUGCUCGACUCCGGCAAAGGUCUCGGGUAAGGGGUGUUACAUUCUCCCUCUUUUUUCAUGCCCAGGUCUCUCCCUCACUGGAAGUGCUAUUGCUCACAUUGAUAUUGGUUUAUUAGGGUUUUUGUUUGUUUUUGAAGGAUAAACCAGUGAAGUUAAUCUCAUGUUGAAGAUCUUCAAGAAGAAAACAUCUCCCAAAGGUAUUUUAGAUUUGAUUCCAUCGUUGCUUUCUUGCUCUCUUUUUUCUUUUUCCUGCAUUUUGCGGUCAUUCUCUAAUUGCUCACUUCCUCUGUUAUGUGGUCAUUGGUUUGUGGCACAACACCAUGUAUGAUAUGUGGUUCAGGAGAAAUUGAAAGAGCCUUAUUGAAAUACUUGGGGGUUGAGCGCAAUGAGGUAACAAAGGACGGUUUAUUCUCUGUUGGAGAAAUGGAAUGUAUGGUAAGUCUUUCCCUUUACAUGUUUACUUCUUUUUUUUCUCCAUAAUGCCAAAUUUUAUUAGAAAAUCUAUUUAUGCUAACCUUUUUUUCCUUAAUCACUCU